AUGACAAAUUGUGACCAGAUGCCACAACAGACUUGUCCAGUUAGCAAAGUCCUUCACCCAUCUAGUGGCUGGCCUAAUUGUACGUGGGAGUCCAGCACAAUACCACAGCCAAAACUCAUAUGAGGACUUUGGUGAUCUACAAGCAUGAGGUACACUAGGUGCUGUGCCUGCCCUUGAGCUGCGACCUUACUCUGUUCAUUUGUUUGGCUCUGCAGUCACAUUGUCCUAGUUUCAAAAACAACAUGGAUAGAAACCUUCAUCAGACUCCUUCCAAGAGCCAGUUUUGAAACUCCCCUCUCAACAAUCAGAAUACAGAACUGAAUUCCUGUAUAUUCCACAUGCUGUGGCUGAAUCCCUGUCCUCUUUCCUCCCCCUCACCCCAUUCAUUCAUAUGAGAGUAUCUGGAUUGCCUGGGUUUCUAAAGGUGGCUUUGUAGUUUAUCAGUAUGUACUCUCAGCCUUAAUUCUACCUUAGCAAACUUUUUGUCUAGGAAUUUCCCUUUAAUUUAUAUCAAUACACUUCUGAAACAGAACCUGAAAAACCCUUUCCUCUUUUUUCUACAUGUAACCUAGAAAUUAAGGAGCCAUUUGUGUUUCAUAUACAAUAUCUCUCUAUUGAAUUUACAAAAACCUGUGGAGAUUAAAACAGCACAGGAUACCUUUGAAGUGGGAAGCCUGAGUUUUGAACAGUUCAUUCAAUCUAGAGGAAAGAUUGAAAAAAGAACUAUGAAACUAAGAUUGAAAGGAGAACUACUGAAACGAGCAAGAGAGAAUGCUGAUAGUUUGCCCUUCUACAGUGCCAUCUCAGAACCUCAGAGCCUUUUACAUUGUUUAUUUCAACCUUUUGUGGUAAAUAUUGAGGCACAGGAAAGUGAAGUAACUGCUCCUACGCCACACAGAGAAUCAGGAGAAAAGCUAAGACUAGAACCCAGAAAUCCUGACUAAAAACCCCUUGCUGCAACCACUAGAUCCACCUCCCUUCUUCGCACAAAAGACCUAAAAAGUAACAGUACAUUUUUUUCCUUACAAUGUUAAAAAUAUCAUUUAUUAUUGUUUAUAUGUCCACUGCAAGGUCACCAUUAAUUAAAUGCAGCAGGAUUAAUUUGAGGAGGAAAAAUUCACUUUGCACUAAUGUGUACAUUUCUAGCUGGGGUUCCACAAAGCAGUUUCACAAUACCAAAAUCAGUGCUAACACCAGUAAAUUUAGCAGAACAUAGACAAUCAUUGAAACACAAAUGAGUACUAGCGGCCCCAGCUUACUAUAAAAUUAUGAGUAAUCCAUGUGUGGAGGAAGGCUCUCUAAGUCUAACAUUUUAGACUUAGGCUCUUCACCAGGGUAUUUAAAGAGGCAAAGGAUGAUCUUGUGGUUAACACUUGGGCCUGGGAAUCAGUCUACUUAUAUUCUUAGCCUGCCUCUGCUGCAGAC
This is a long non-coding RNA of Caretta caretta (loggerhead turtle), 1425 nucleotides long. RefSeq lists it as uncharacterized. NCBI's taxonomy places the organism in Eukaryota, Metazoa, Chordata, Testudines, Cheloniidae. The record is from RefSeq and is a predicted model, not a curated record.